This 933-nucleotide ribosomal RNA is filed under the name uncultured bacterium. Its description in RNAcentral is "bacterial SSU rRNA". It matches the Rfam family "Bacterial small subunit ribosomal RNA", at positions 8 to 916 of the family's 1533-position model. The record is from RNAcentral.
AGAGUUUGAUCAUGGCUCAGAACUAACGCUGGCGGCGUGCCUAACACAUGCAAGUCGUACGAGAAAGUUGGCUUCGGCCGAUGAGUAAAGUGGCGCACGGGUGAGUAACGCGUGGAUAAUCUACCCCUCAGUUGGGAAUAACUCAUCGAAAGGUGGGCUAAUACCGAAUAAUACUGCAUAACUUCUGUUGUGUAGUCAAAGAUGGCCUCUGCUUGCAAGCUAUCGCUGAAGGAUGAGUCCGCGUACCAUUAGCUAGUUGGUAGGGUAAUGGCCUACCAAGGCAACGAUGGUUAGCUGGUCUGAGAGGAUGAUCAGCCACACUGGAACUGAGACACGGUCCAGACUCCUACGGGAGGCAGCAGUGAGGAAUAUUGCGCAAUGGGGGCAACCCUGACGCAGCAACGCCGCGUGAGUGAGGAAGGUUUUCGGACCGUAAAGCUCUGUCGAGCGGGAAGAAAUGCAUAGUGGUUAAUAUCCAUUAUGCUUGACGGUACCGCUAAAGGAAGCACCGGCUAACUCCGUGCCAGCAGCCGCGGUAAUACGGGGGGUGCUAGCGUUGUUCGGAAUCAUUGGGCGUAAAGAGCGUGUAGGCGGCUGGAUAAGUCAGAUGUGAAAGCCCUGGGCUUAACCCAGGAAGUGCAUUUGAAACUGUUCAGCUUGAGUAAGGGAGAGGAAAGUGGAAUUCCUGGUGUAGAGGUGAAAUUCGUAGAUAUCAGGAGGAACACCGGUGGCGAAGGCGACUUUCUGGCCCUAUACUGACGCUGAGACGCGAGAGCGUGGGUAGCAAACAGGAUUAGAUACCCUGGUAGUCCACGCUGUAAACGAUGUUCACUAGGUGUUGGGGGUAUUGACCCUCUCAGUGCCGCAGCUAACGCAUUAAGUGAACCGCCUGGGGAGUACGGUCGCAAGAUUAAAACUCAAAGGAAUUGACGG